AAUAACCGAAGAUCACAGCUGGGUUCAAUGUUGGGUUGGUAAUCACACGAACAUCACCACCACCGGGCGCCCAGGUAUCAUAGACACCACCGAAGAACAUUGCUUUCAGCACCAACAAUAAAGCACCACAUCCCAAAAGAAUUAGGUGGAAGCCGAUGAUGUUGGUCAUCUUGUUCUUGUCUUUCCA
This is a non-coding RNA of Hapalosiphon sp. MRB220, 187 nucleotides long. The record is from Rfam. Lineage: Bacteria; Bacillati; Cyanobacteriota; Cyanophyceae; Nostocales; Hapalosiphonaceae.